UCCCUCAGACAUUGCAAUCUGCACACAUGACAUUGUGAAGAGCUGGCUUCCUCUUUAUCACAGGAAGGCGCAGUGAGCCCUGAGGUGCUCAGAAGAGCGGCAGGUGUGGAACAGUAGCCGCUGUCUGUUUUGGAAGAAGGAAAUCCCACGGGUGGCUCCCUGCAUGCCCGCUCUCUGCUCUGGUCCAACCCAGGCCCAGCCUCCUCCCUGUGGAGCCCUCCACAGGCAGCUGUGCCCUCCGAAGCCCUCUGGGCCUGCUGCUCCGCAAUGAGAAUCCCAGGUAGAUGGACAGAAGAGGAAUUUAAGGUCUGUCUCUUGUGCGCUCCCAGCUCACUCCCGGACCCCACCACACAAGUUGCUGUGGAAGCAUCUGGUCACCCAGGGCUCCUUCCUGGAGGGGCCUGGAGCCCAGGAACACUGCAGGAAGAACACAGAAUGUGCAGGGUGGCCUUGGCAACUGAGCAAUUGAAAAUUCUGUGAACACUUGUGAAGCAUGUAUGCACACAGAGUUGGCUGUUAACUUUGCGAUUGAUUAUUUUGCAUUUUGUUAUAAACAAUUAACCAUAAAACUGUGGUUUGCAAAGUCCUGCUGUUCAAUAGAGCGAUUAGCCCUGCUGCCGAUUAUCAUGUCUGUGUUCAAGAAAGAGAUGACGCAGAGGUUGGGAGAGUGGAUCCAGCAAGGGUCCUCUCAAAUCAACAACACCAAAAUCACUUGGAAAUCAAGGCUCAUCAUAAUCUGGACUGGAAGGAUUGAACAUCAGCACAAACCAGAAAAGAUCCCCGAGGAACAAGGUGUGGUGCACAGCUGAAAUCCAAGCUACUCUGGGAGCUGAGGCAGGAGGAUUGCAACUUUGAGUCCAGCCUGAGCAAUUUCACAAGACCCUGUCUACCAAAAGGAGGGGAGGGGUUUGUAAGCACUCCUUUCUUUUUAAAAUGGCUCACUUGUAUUCCCCAAACUAAAAGUCUCUUGUAUUUUCCCCUACUUCCAAAGCUGCUGCUUCUAAGUUUCCUUUUUAAAGGCCAGUUUCCUUUGCCUGACCAUGAAAGUUACGAUAUUCUCAAGUCUCGGGUUUCUCUUCCCUUCUAAUGCUGCACUCACGCUGUGUGACCAAAUCAUAGUUUUCUGGGGCAUCAGUUAUUCUCAAAAAACAACAGCUCACACAUUCCUAUAUCCAGUGUCAUAUUCAACUGUGCACUUGGUGUUUCUAAUCGGAUCUUUCAAUGGCAUCUCGGAUUUAACAGACCAAAUCUAAACUCAUAAUCUCCAAACAGGAUUUCUUCAGUUUCUCAUCUGUUUCUGGCAACUGUGUAACUAAAGAGGCUGAAAAUAAGGAACAAUAAAAAAGUCACCAUCUAUUUCAUUAGAGAGUUACUUUUCUAUAUCCAAAUCUACGGACAUCACCUGAGCCAUUCCAUAUCUGGUGCCUCUUUGACUCUCUGGCCCUCCCUGAGCACAGUAAUCUCUUUCCUGGCCUACUCUAUCAAGUCCCUUGCUGAUCUCCUCAUAGCUCUUCCAACCCCUUCUGUCACCCCAAAUCAUUUUAACACAACCCACCACUCUCUGGUUAGACUGUGUCAGUUACUCCUCUUUUGACACACAAGAAAGACCAAUAUUUGAGCUAGGCUGCAAGUUCUGACACGAAGCACUUCUACCUUUGUUCUCAUUAAAUAAAUAACAUUAGCGGGUUGAAUCAAUAAGAGAAAACAAUAGGUCCAAAGAGUAGAUAGUGAAAAAUUAGAAUGAAGAUAGAAGAAAGUGCCCUGUGGUCAAAGAUGUCAAUAAAUGCAUUGACUAUAGAGGGCAUGACCCAAAUUUAAGGUAUGGAUUGGCCUUGGAGAAGGGAGACAGUUUGGCCACUGAGGAGUCACGGUCAUUAGUCAGAUUUGGUCAUCACAUAGAAGUGUAGUUGUAUUAGCUUCAAUAAAGGCAUGGAGAGCAGAGCAUGAAAGAAUAUUCCCAGAAGCCUGGUACUGGAGUGAAAGAGAUGGAAGCAAGAGUUGAGAAAGAAUUUAUAGAACAAAAACCAGGAUUUUAAGAAAAAGUAACAAAAUCUUAAUUUUUAAUUAAUGGGCAAAUGGAAAAGAAAUGAGAAUAUUAAGUAUAGUGAAGUUUACUGAUCAAAGAAAUUUAUCAAUAAGGAAAAUGCACAGAUAAGACACUGAUAUGGUGUGGCUUGGUGACUGUUGCUUCAAGAAGCAUGGGGAUAAUGUGGGUUCCUGUGAUAUCGUUGAUGGACCAUGAACUGUUAAAAGAUACGUUACAGAAACAUCUGAUAAAACCAACCAGGGGUGGGAUGUGGUGAUAUUUCAAAAAUGUGCAGCAAAAUGAACUAACUGCUGUGUUUUCUUGAUGUUUUGCUCAUUACUUUGAGGUCAUGGCUUAUUUGUGUUGCUUUAUCUUUUUGCCACAAGCAGAAGACAGGGGAGAAAGACAGUAGCUCGAAGAGAAGACCUGAGAUGGGUCUGGAUGUAGCAGAGACUCUAGGUGGGCGCUGUGGAAACGCUCCGAGGAAGCUCUGAGUGCACUCAGAGACUGCGGAUGAGGACGGAUGGCAUGGAGCCCAAGGGCUCCACCUGAGAACUCUGCUCCUAAGUUACUCUCUUGGACCCCUGAACUUUUACAGUGACAAGCAGUAAAGAGGUGGAGGGUGACAGAUCAGAAACAAACUGAGAUGUGAAUAGCUGUGCCCCCUGACCUAGUUCACUUUGACACUGGCUUGAAUGUAUGCAAAAGGGUGUGUCUUAGUAACAGCACAGGUGUGAUCAGGAAACAGCACUUGUGGGUCACUAGGAAACACAGGAUUAGUGCUGAGGGUCAGGUGGACUCUCUCAGAGCAGAAAGUUUUGUAUUGUGUGAUCAUGUCAUGCUAGGGCAUCUGUAAUCCAGAAAGAUAAGUGCAUCCAAAGUUUGAUAAAACUGUCUACUUCUGUAUUUACAUAACGGUCUAUAUACAAAAGAUAGACUAAAAUGAUGCCACAGUUGUACAGGCAAACACACAACACUCAAAAGUCAUAAAUCUUUCAUAUCCCAAUUGUACCUCAUUCCCAUAUUAUUUAAGAUGUUAAGGUUUCCCAUAUUAUUUAAGUCACUACAUUAAUUAAUGAAAAUGCUUCUACCUUUGAAAGGUGUCUUUUGAAGUGAGACUGAUGUGUUCAUGUUUAGCAAAGUGAUCAUAAUCUCUUCCAUGCUGGCUUUACAAAGGAGAUUAAUUUGUGGACAGACUUUCUAAUUAAGGCUCCACAUGUGCCCAUGGGAAGAUGAUUUUAUCUGAAACCUUUGCUCUGAACACUGCUCUGCUAUUGUUGGCCUGUACAAGGAGCCCAGACUGCCUCUGACAGACUGCAGAUGUCAUGGGCAGGAGUUUAUUUAAUCAAUGGAUCCCAGGCAUGGGGUCCUCCGGACAAGCUCAAGGCAGCCAGCUGAGUCGUCCAAGAAGCAUAACUGCUCCGGAAGAAUGUUAACAUCUCAUAGCAUCUGCAGCCUCACUUGGAAAUGCCUCCACUCGGUGCUCAGUAAUAAUGACUCAGUCAUUUUUACAUCAUUUUUAACACAUCAAAAUGUAUAUGUAUAAAUUCUCAGUCUUAAAACAUCAUUUAAUAAAACUAAAGCAAUCGCUGUUCUAGUACAUGAGCACUGAGUGGAUUAAUUCGUGUGAAAGAAAAAUAAACUUCAUGAAGUAUUUCAGUAGCAACUUUUAAUCUUUUCCACAAUUCUCAGUUCCAAAUUGAAUUGAGAUAUUGCAUAAGAACUGGAGUUUUAAAUAUGAGUUGUAAAAUGAACCAAAUAAAGGUCGCUUGAAAGAAUUUCAGUUUUUAAAAUGGUUAUAACAAGUAAAAGAAUGAGUUUGACUCAAAGAAUGAGGAAAUCCUUGGCCUUUUGUGGAUCUCCUCAGCCAACACUUGUAGGCGGAGACAGUGAACACACAGUUGAAGUUCAACCAGCCUUCUAUUUGACUGUGCAGGAGCUAUGUAUUUAACUAGUCUUUAGCAAACACCGUAUCAUUGUUCAUAGCAUUGUAACUCAUGAAAGAAAAAGGCAAGUGUAGCUUUGUGAAGGGCAGUGUUGGUCUUAAGUGCUCGUCCAGUUUAUUAAUUUACAAAAUUCUUUUCAGAACCCUGCUCUAUACAUAGGUCAAUAUCUCAUAAAGAUCAUUGAAUUUGAAAGACAAAUAAGAAUUACUUAAAAUAAGUUUAACAAAGUAAGUGUAUAAUACAAUAUUUCUAUAAUGUUUUCAGUGCUUUACAUUCAAAGUAAUUGUAAUAUUUACAUUUUCUUUAUCAUUUACAGCUUUUACACACACACACAUACACACACACACCUGUUUAGAUUGGAGGCAAAAGAUUAUAUACGCAAAUAUGUUAGCAGACAAAAGUUAAUAUACUCGGUGUUUUAAAAAUACCAAAGUAUUUCAAGGAUAGUAAUAUUUCCAAAUUUAUUUAUUUAUUUUAUUUCAAUGUAAUACAAGUAGAUAUUAAUAAAGAAAAUGUUUUAAAAAGCAGUCUUCUUACUUCUAUGAAAAAAUACAUCAAAAUUUCAUAACAAAUUAAAGAAUAAUAUUAGUUAAUAUACCGUGUACCAUAAUCUUCACAACAUGGCCGAAAUGUUAGAGUACAAGUCAUAGACAAAAAAGAUUCUUACAAAAAAGAAACAAAUAGAUAACGGCACAAAACUUUGUUUUCAAUUAACCAAGAGGACCUAGCGGUAUACAGGAAACAAAUUAGCAUAUAUACUGAAAUAUGUUUGAAAGCAUGGAAUACAUAACUUGGG
This is a long non-coding RNA of Heterocephalus glaber (naked mole-rat), 4768 nucleotides long. RefSeq lists it as uncharacterized. Lineage: Eukaryota; Metazoa; Chordata; Mammalia; Rodentia; Bathyergidae. The record is from RefSeq and is a predicted model, not a curated record.